This 482-nucleotide ribosomal RNA is filed under the name uncultured bacterium. Its description in RNAcentral is "bacterial SSU rRNA". It matches the Rfam family "Bacterial small subunit ribosomal RNA", at positions 30 to 507 of the family's 1533-position model. The record is from RNAcentral.
AUUGAACGCUGGCGGCAUGCCUUACACAUGCAAGUCGAACGGCAGCACGGGAGCAAUCCUGGUGGCGAGUGGCGAACGGGUGAGUAAUAUAUCGGAACGUGCCCAGUCGUGGGGGAUAACGUAGCGAAAGCUACGCUAAUACCGCAUACGAUCUACGGAUGAAAGCGGGGAUCGCAAGACCUCGCGCGAUUGGAGCGGCCGAUAUCAGAUUAGGUAGUUGGUGAGGUAAAGGCUCACCAAGCCGACGAUCUGUAGCUGGUCUGAGAGGACGACCAGCCACACUGGGACUGAGACACGGCCCAGACUCCUACGGGAGGCAGCAGUGGGGAAUUUUGGACAAUGGGCGCAAGCCUGAUCCAGCAAUGCCGCGUGCAGGAUGAAGGCCUUCGGGUUGUAAACUGCUUUGUACGGAACGAAACGGUGAGCUCUAAUACAGUUUGCUAAUGACGGUACCGUAAGAAUAAGCACCGGCUAACUACGUG